Molecule: ribosomal RNA, 253 nt
Filed under: uncultured bacterium
Lineage: Bacteria
Description: partial 16S ribosomal RNA
Rfam family: Bacterial small subunit ribosomal RNA
Source: RNAcentral
GACAGAGGGUGCAAACGUUGUUCGGAUUUACUGGGCGUAAAGCGCGUGUAGGCGGCUUGGCAAGUUGGAUGUGAAAGCCCACGGCUCAACCGUGGAAGCGCAUCCAAAACUGCUUCGCUCGAGUCUCGGAGAGGAAGGUGGAAUGCUUGGUGUAGAGGUGAAAUUCGUAGAUAUCAAGCAGAACACCUGCGGCGAAGGCGGCCUUCUGGACGAUGACUGACGCUGAGACGCGAAAGCGUGGGGAGCAAACAGU